GAUGAACGCUGGCGGCGUGCCUAAUACAUGCAAGUCGAGCGAACAGACGAGGAGCUUGCUCCUCUGACGUUAGCGGCGGACGGGUGAGUAACACGUGGAUAACCUACCUAUAAGACUGGGAUAACUUCGGGAAACCGGAGCUAAUACCGGAUAAUAUAUUGAACCGCAUGGUUCAAUAGUGAAAGACGGUUUUGCUGUCACUUAUAGAUGGAUCCGCGCCGCAUUAGCUAGUUGGUAAGGUAACGGCUUACCAAGGCAACGAUGCGUAGCCGACCUGAGAGGGUGAUCGGCCACACUGGAACUUGGACACGGUCCAGACUCCUACGGGAGGCAGCAGUAGGGAAUCUUCCGCAAUGGGCGAAAGCCUGACGGAGCAACGCCGCGUGAGUGAUGAAGGUCUUCGGAUCGUAAAGCUCUGUUAUUAGGGAAGAACAAAUGUGUAAGUAACUAUGCACGUCUUGACGGUACCUAAUCAGAAAGCCACGGCUAACUACGUG
Molecule: ribosomal RNA, 497 nt
Filed under: uncultured bacterium
Lineage: Bacteria
Description: partial 16S ribosomal RNA
Rfam family: Bacterial small subunit ribosomal RNA
Source: RNAcentral